ACCGAGCGACACCGCGUGAGCGACGAAGGCCUUCGGGUCGUAAAGCUCUUUUAUUUGGGAAGAAUGCAUAGUAAUAUGUUUGACGGUACCAUUUGAAUAAGCCCCAGCUAACUACGUGCCAGCAGCUGCGGUAAUACGUANGGGGCAAGCGUUAUCCGGAAUCACUGGGCGUAAAGGGUCCGCAGGUGUCCCGUUAAGUUAGAUGUUAAAUCGCAAGGCUCAACCUUGCGGCUGCAUCUAAUACUGACAGGAUAGAGGAUAGGUGACGGAAGUGGAAUUCCUGGUGGAGAGGUAAAAUCCGUAGAUAUCAGGAGGAACACCCGUGGCGUAGGCGGCUUCCGAACCUAUUCCUGACACUCAGGGACGAAAGCUAGGGGAGCAAACAGGAUUAGAUACCCUGGUUGUCCUAGCUGUAAACGAUGAAUACUAGAUAGUGGGUGCUACACCGUACUCACCGUCGUAGCUAACGCGUUAAGUAUUUCGCCUGGGAACUACGAUCGCAAGUUUGAAACUCAAAGGAAUUGACGGGUCCCCGCACAAGCGGCGAGGCAUGUGGCUUAAUUCGAUGCAACACGAAGAACCUUACCUGGACUUGACAUGUUUCUGAAAGGCCGGAGAAACCCGGUCCCUUCCAGUUUACUGGAACAGUUUCACAGGUGGUGCAUGGUUGUCGUCAGCUCGUGUCGUGAGAUGUAAGGUUAAGUCCUUAAACGAGCGUAACCUUUGUCAUUAGUUGCCACCGGUUCGGCCGAGCACUCUAAUGAGACCGCUAGCGACAAGCUAGAGGAAGAUGGAGAUGACGUCAAAUCCUCACGUCCCUUAUGUCCAGGGCCGCACACAUGCGACAAUGGUAGAGACAGCGGGUUGCGACGGGGUAACCCUGAGCUAAUCCAUAAACUCUGCCUCAGUACAGAUCGAGGGCUGAAAUUCGACCUCGUGAAGAUGGAGUUGCUAG
This 955-nucleotide ribosomal RNA is filed under the name uncultured Caldisericota bacterium. Its description in RNAcentral is "bacterial SSU rRNA". It matches the Rfam family "Bacterial small subunit ribosomal RNA", at positions 386 to 1338 of the family's 1533-position model. The record is from RNAcentral. Lineage: Bacteria; Pseudomonadati; Caldisericota.